Molecule: long non-coding RNA, 1549 nt
Filed under: Lynx pardinus (Iberian lynx)
Lineage: Eukaryota; Metazoa; Chordata; Mammalia; Carnivora; Felidae
Source: RNAcentral
UGCUUCCUACUUCCAGAAACCAGUCCUUUUCAGGAGAGCGUUGAUAUUCUUUUAACAUCAAGGGGUGAAGGAUUUAUACUGCAUGACCCAAAGGCAGGUAUCACACCAGUGAGUGGUAAGAAAGGAAUUGACAUUUAUUGAGCACCAACUGUGUACCUGUCACUGAACUAGGGAUUUUCACAGGUUAUUUCCUAAAUUGUAGUAAAUUGUAUUUCUUAAUUAUAGUAAAAAUUGUAGUAAAAAGUUAUUUCUUAGAUUGCAAAAAAAUUGCAAUUACUUAAAUUGUAGUAAAAUUAUAGUAAAGUUACAUAACGAAAUUUACCAUCGUAAUCAUUUAAGUAUAUAGUUCAGUGGUGGUAUUAAAUACAUUCACCUCAUUGUGUGACCAUCAGAUCAGCAUCGUCCAUAGAACUUUUUUCAUCUCGUCAUAUUGGAAACUCUGUUACCUAUUAAACAAUAACUGCCCAUUAUCUCCUCCUCUGAGCUCCUGAAAGCCACCAUUCAAUUUUCCAUCUCUAUGAAUUUGACUUCUUUAGGUGCCCCAAUAGAAGUAGAGUCAUACAGUAUUUGUCCUUUUGUGACUGGCUUAUUUUACUUAACACCAUGUCCUCAGGGUUUAUUCAUGCUGUGAAUAACAUGACAGGCUUUCUUUCCUUUUACAGGCUGAAUAAUAUUCCAGUGUCUGUAUGUGCAUUUUGUUUCCCCAUUCAUCUGUCAGUGGACACUUGGGUGACUUCUAGCUUUUGACCAUUGUGAAUACUGUUGCUAUGUUCAGGUUAUAUUAUUUAAGCCACAUAACAAUUUAGUGAUUCAGGAGUUAUUAAACUCAUGUUACAGGAGAGGACACUGAGGCUGAAUGGAGUGAAGUGACAAAGUAGAUGUAUGAGAAUUAAAAUGUGCAGGGAAGAAUCUCAUUUUAGUGACAGCCCAGAGAAGACAGGCUGCCCUGUCAGCUCAAGCAGAGGCUGUAGGGGCAGCUGGUAGGGAUGUGGUCACAAGCUGUGGAGGAGGAAGGAGAAAAAAGGAAGGGUGAGGAGGCUAGGAUUCUCAAUUCCUUCCAACUCAGAUUUUUUUUUUUGGUCCCUGUAUAACUUAAGUUUAAAAACAUCAGUUGAACUUUGUUUAAUGUUUUGUAUAGAUUAGGAAACCUAAAAACACUUCAUGCCUCUUUGUAAAUUACAGUUCUGUUUUUAUGAGAAUUUGCUUAGUGGAAGGUUAUCAAGUGACAUCUAAUAUUCAAAUUGUAUCACUGUAAUGAUUUGAUUCCAGGAACAUAUUUCCAGAAAGAAAAGUGGAAACAGUAAAAGAAGAAGGAGAAGAAGAAGGAGGAGGAGAAGAAAAAGAAACCUAUAUGUGAAUUAGCAGACACUCAGAAAAUGAGUACUUCACAUCACUACCCUCACUCAUUCCUAUAGGCACCGAGCAAGCUGCUGUGGGGUGGGGUAGAAAAGAGCAUAGAUCUCAUGAUAGUGCUGACAUGGAUUCAGUGCUAACCCUGCUAUUUACCAGCCAUGUGCCAUCCCUCUGAGCUACAAUUUAUUUAUUAAAU